This 1225-nucleotide long non-coding RNA is filed under the name Eucalyptus grandis. RNAcentral describes it as "long non-coding RNA (EGRA_LNC002085)". Lineage: Eukaryota; Viridiplantae; Streptophyta; Magnoliopsida; Myrtales; Myrtaceae. The record is from RNAcentral.
CGACGUCUUACGGGUCAAAUUAAUAAUUACCUUAAUUUGGGAUAAAACUCCUAAUGUCUACAAAGUCUAUAAAUAUUGACAUACAAUACUACAACUUAAAAAAAAGCUAACAUAACAUGAAAUAAGUAAAAAAAUAAAAAUAUAAAAAUAUACUACCUAAUUUCCUUUUCUUUUUUCUUUUGUUUUUUCCCUUCUUCUUUUUCUUCCCAAGCACGGCUUGUGCUCGUGCGGCUGGUCACCGGCUCCAGUGAGGGGCGGCGGCUGUAACGGUGGCGUCACCGACGAUCGGAGAUUGCAGAGGCGCGGAGCUCUGGCGAGAUCCGACAAUUCGGAGCGGGCGGUCGCGGAUGAAGGUGCUGCACAGCAGGGGAGUCGCUCGAACUUCGGAUCUGGUGGCAGGGCAACAGGGGGCUCGUGACCCUCGGUGCUAUCGGCAGAGACGGCGGGAGGAGCAGCGGCAGCGUCAGAGGCAGGGGCGUCAGCCGCUGGUCGGAGCAGAGGCAGAACCGGCCGUCACAGGGGGGCGGAGUUGCAGUAGGAGACGCUGGGGCAGAGAUGCAGGCUCGGGCUGAGGCGAACCAUCAGCGAAACAAGGAAAUCCGUCGUCGCAGGGGCUGUAGGCGAGCAAGGCGCGGCGUCGGGUCGUCGCGGCGAUGGUGCUCGCGGUGGCACAGCGGCGAGUGGAGUGGCGGGGAGCGUAAGCGUUGGCGGCUGUGCUGCUGCGCGUCAGUGGCGAGUCCGGCGAGGCAACGGUGGCGGAGGCGUGGUGGUGCUCGGAGGCCGACUGAGGGUGGUUCAGAGAGGAUCUGCUGGCGGAGCGGCGGCGAAGCAACGCGGACGGCGUGGGCACGGCCGGCGCGGACAGGGGGCAGCGUCGGGAGGAAGAAGACGACGCUGUAGCCCCUGUUUUCUUUUCCCUUUUUUUCUGUUUUCUUUUACUUCUUUUUUUUUUCUCUCUCUCUCACGUUGCUUUUCUGCUUUUUCUUCUCUGCCACCCCCUGUUGCUGUUGUACUUCGGCAGAAAAACCCAAAAAAGCUUCUGCUGACUUUUCCUUUUCUAAAAGAAACGAAACCUCUCUUCCCUUUCCUCUCUUUUCACUUUUUCUUUUCGACGAAGAGGACCCCGACCGAAGCUCAUCUUCCCUCUCUUUUGCUUUCUUCUUUUUUUUCGGCCGAACGACAGAAUUUUUUGCUCUGAAUUUUUUUCGAAUUCCUCCCCCCUAAA